Molecule: ribosomal RNA, 383 nt
Filed under: uncultured bacterium
Lineage: Bacteria
Description: bacterial SSU rRNA
Rfam family: Bacterial small subunit ribosomal RNA
Source: RNAcentral
AUUGAACGCUGGCGGCAUGCCUUACACAUGCAAGUCGAACGGCAGCACGGGAGCAAUCCUGGUGGCGAGUGGCGAACGGGUGAGUAAUAUAUCGGAACGUGCCCAGUCGUGGGGGAUAACGCAGCGAAAGCUGUGCUAAUACCGCAUACGAUCUAUGGAUGAAAGCGGGGGAUCGCAAGACCUCGCGCGAUUGGAGCGGCCGAUAUCAGAUUAGGUAGUUGGUGGGGUAAAGGCCCGACCAAGCCGACGAUCUGUAGCUGGUCUGAGAGGACGACCAGCCACACUGGAACUGAGACACGGUCCAGACUCCUACGGGAGGCAGCAGUGGGGAAUUUUGGACAAUGGGCGCAAGCCUGAUCCAGCAAUGCCGCGUGCAGGAUGAA